GAUUGAACGCUGGCGGCAGGCCUAACACAUGCAAGUCGAGCGGAUGAAGGGAGCUUGCUCUCUGAUUCAGCGGCGGACGGGUGAGUAAUGCCUAGGAAUCUGCCUGAUAGUGGGGGACAACGUUUCGAAAGGAACGCUAAUACCGCAUACGUCCUACGGGAGAAAGCAGGGGACCUUCGGGCCUUGCGCUAUCAGAUGAGCCUAGGUCGGAUUAGCUAGUUGGUGAGGUAACGGCUCACCAAGGCGACGAUCCGUAACUGGUCUGAGAGGAUGAUCAGUCACACUGGAACUGAGACACGGUCCAGACUCCUACGGGAGGCAGCAGUGGGGAAUAUUGGACAAUGGGCGAAAGCCUGAUCCAGCCAUGCCGCGUGUGUGAAGAAGGUCUUCGGAUUGUAAAGCACUUUAAGUUGGGAGGAAGGGCAUUAACCUAAUACGUUAGUGUUUUGACGUACCGACAGAAUAAGC
RNAcentral lists this ribosomal RNA (468 nucleotides) under Pseudomonas sp. DM88. RNAcentral's name for it is "bacterial SSU rRNA". It matches the Rfam family "Bacterial small subunit ribosomal RNA", at positions 27 to 491 of the family's 1533-position model. Lineage: Bacteria; Pseudomonadati; Pseudomonadota; Gammaproteobacteria; Pseudomonadales; Pseudomonadaceae. The record is from RNAcentral.